This 486-nucleotide ribosomal RNA is filed under the name uncultured bacterium. RNAcentral's name for it is "partial 16S ribosomal RNA". It matches the Rfam family "Bacterial small subunit ribosomal RNA", at positions 30 to 507 of the family's 1533-position model. The record is from RNAcentral.
AUUGAACGCUGGCGGAAUGCUUUACACAUGCAAGUCGAACGGCAGCACGGGAGCUUGCUCCUGGUGGCGAGUGGCGAACGGGUGAGUAACAUAUCGGAACGUACCCAGUCGUGGGGGAUAACUAUCCGAAAGGAUAGCUAAUACCGCAUACGUCCUGAGGGAGAAAGCGGGGGAUCGCAAGACCUCGCGCGAUUGGAGCGGCCGAUAUCGGAUUAGCUAGUUGGUGGGGUAAAGGCUCACCAAGGCGGCGAUCCGUAGCGGGUCUGAGAGGACGACCCGCCACACUGGAACUGAGACACGGUCCAGACUCCUACGGGAGGCAGCAGUGGGGAAUUUUGGACAAUGGGGGCAACCCUGAUCCAGCCAUUCCGCGUGAGUGAAGAAGGCCUUCGGGUUGUAAAGCUCUUUCAGCAGGAACGAAACGGUCGGCUUUAAUAAAAUCGGCUAAUGACGGUACCUGCAGAAGAAGCACCGGCUAACUACGUG